This 245-nucleotide ribosomal RNA is filed under the name uncultured bacterium. RNAcentral describes it as "partial 16S ribosomal RNA". It matches the Rfam family "Bacterial small subunit ribosomal RNA", at positions 528 to 772 of the family's 1533-position model. The record is from RNAcentral.
UAGGUGGCAAGCGUUGUCCGGAUUUACUGGGUGUAAAGGGCGUGUAGGCGGAGAUACAAGUCAGGAGUGAAAUCUGGGGGCUCAACCCCCAAACUGCUUUUGAAACUGUAUCCCUUGAGUAUCGGAGAGGCAGGCGGAAUUCCUAGUGUAGCGGUGAAAUGCGUAGAUAUUAGGAAGAACACCAGUGGCGAAGGCGGCCUGCUGGACGACAACUGACGCUGAGGCGCGAAAGCGUGGGGAGCAAA